AAUUUUUUCUUAUGAUGAGGAACUUUUAAGAUUUACACUCUUAGCAACUUUUGAAUAUACAAUACAGCAUUUUUAAACAAUAUUAUUAAUUAUAGUACAA
Long non-coding RNA from Lynx canadensis (Canada lynx), 100 nucleotides. RefSeq lists it as uncharacterized. The record is from RefSeq and is a predicted model, not a curated record. NCBI's taxonomy places the organism in Eukaryota, Metazoa, Chordata, Mammalia, Carnivora, Felidae. The transcript has 3 exons.